AGAAUCAACGCUGGCGGCGUGCCUAACACAUGCAAGUCGAACGAGAAAGUGGAGCAAUCCAUGAGUAAAGUGGCGACCGGGUGAGUAACACGUGACUAACCUACCUUCGAGUGGGGGAUAACAUCGGGAAACCGAUGCUAAUACCGCAUAACAUCGCAAGAUCAAAGCAGUAAUGCGCUUGAAGAGGGGGUCGCGGCUGAUUAGCUAGUUGGCGGGUAACGCCCACCAAGCGAAGAUCGGUAGCCGGCCUGAGAGGGCGCACGGCCACACUGGAACUGAAACACGGUCCAGACUCCUACGGGAGGCAGCAGUGGGGAAUUUUUGCGCAAUGGGGGAAACCCUGACGCAGCAACGCCGCGUGGAGGAUGAAGCCCCUUGGGGCGUAAACUCCUUUCGACCAAGACGAUAAUGACGGUACUGGUGGAAGAAGCACCGGCUAACUCUGCGCCAGCAGCCGC
Molecule: ribosomal RNA, 458 nt
Filed under: uncultured bacterium
Lineage: Bacteria
Description: SSU rRNA
Rfam family: Bacterial small subunit ribosomal RNA
Source: RNAcentral